UUGAGAGGCUAUCAGUCCUCAGAACAGGGUGUGCCAGCCCCUGUGAGUGAGGUCAGGAAUGUGAAUGAAUGACCAUUUUAACCAGGAUACAGAAGAUCAGGACAAAAGCCAAGGAUAAUUUUUUAUUUAAUUUACUAAUAUCCUUUAAACAAACUUCUCUUUCCUUUCUUUUAUUUUUAUGGAAGCAUUACUUUCACAGUAAAGUUCACUAAUUAGAAGCUUCUACUAUUUACAAUAUUCUCAAUAUAAGGCAAGGAUAAGAGAGGUUAUCUGAAAACUACUGGCCUGGUAAAGAGCUGGCAUUUUGAAAUAUACAAAUAUCUCCCCAAAUCCAACAAUAAGAAUGACUUAAUUCAAAAUGGUCAAAAUUUGAAUAGACACUCCUUCAAAGAAGAUAUACUUAUGGUGCCUUGAGUCAACUAUGAAGGCACAACAGAGUGAACAAUCAUUGCAAACCUGGACUGUCACAACUGAAGAUGUCCGUGUAUGAAGAGAGGAUGAGGACAGGAGGAAGGAUAUGGCUUCUGACACAGGAGACGAACACCCUCAGCACCACAGCCCAGCAGAGAACCAGGGAAAAAAAUCAUCUAAUAUCCUUACCAUAAGAAGGACACACUGUUUGUUAGUCAAGGGGCUAUGACAACUGCUUAGAAGCUGUCUUCCUGCAGCUCCACGAAUGAGAAGAUUCAAGGGAAGAAGCUGAUUUUUCUUUCAGAGCUUAUUUUAAUUCACCCAACUUGUCAGUUAACAUGACUUCUUUGCAACUUGAGAGAAGAGCCUUUGAACUUCGGACUCUUUUCAUGUUUCCGGAAACUUCCCCUGCUUACAUCUGUUUGCUGUGCGCUGUGGUUUCUAGUGAAGAAGCUGAAUUUAUGCCUUAUAAAAUGUCUCCUAAAAGCAUUCGCCUACCAGAUCCAGAUCAAAGGGGUGAUUUAGUCAAUUAUUAAUGUGGAAGGCCGUAGGAGAGGAACAUGCAGAUAAUUCCAAAAGAGGGGCCUGACCCCACACCUGGCCUGCUCUUCAAUGGAUGGCUAUUUGUAGCCAGGCAAAAGCUCUCUUGUGAGUGGGUAUUGGGGUGCACCCUGUAGCUCGGGUAGGUUGAAGAAAGAAGGCACUCCCAAGAUGAAUUUUUAAGGCCUAUGUGGCAGCAGGAAGGUCCAGCCUCUUCUGAUGGACUGAACCCCAAACAACCGUCCAAAGAUGUAUUUAUUGAAAGUUACACAAAGUAUUUCCCCAUACUGAAGUCCCUACUCUAAUUUACAUGUCUUACUGAAGGAGAGCAUCACAUGUCCCCAUGACUCUAGUCCUUUAUUAUGCAUCAUGUGUAAUGCACAAUAAGACAAGAGACUAGGUGUGCCUGGGUCAUCUUGUGACCACAGUCCUGGAUGGCUACAAUGCCCCUUCAGCAAAACAAUCACUGUUUUCCACAGGGAUUCUUCAAGGUCAAAGUACUUAUUAAAAAAACAAAACAAACAAAACAAAACAAAAAACCCAGCUGCUCGUUCUAAUAUCUACCCCACACAGUGAUUCUGCUAAGUUCCUACAAGUGGGCAGCAUCCCACUGCUGGUCACUCUGAGACAUGAGUGAGGCACAGAAGCACAGGCUGCUUUCAACUUGUGUCACACUCUGCAUGAAGGGCAUAUCUCCUGAGAUCGGCUGUGACCUCUAUCACCUCUAUAUCCUUGGAAAGGAGAUCACAGGCCGUCCCAGGAGAACUCUUUAAUGUUUCUGCACAAACAGCACCUAGUAAAUCCUUGUGUGAUGAAUGAA
This is a long non-coding RNA of Peromyscus eremicus (cactus mouse), 1771 nucleotides long. RefSeq lists it as uncharacterized. NCBI's taxonomy places the organism in Eukaryota, Metazoa, Chordata, Mammalia, Rodentia, Cricetidae. The transcript is spliced from 4 exons. The record is from RefSeq and is a predicted model, not a curated record.